RNAcentral lists this long non-coding RNA (236 nucleotides) under Mytilus galloprovincialis (Mediterranean mussel). The record is from RNAcentral. Lineage: Eukaryota; Metazoa; Mollusca; Bivalvia; Mytilida; Mytilidae.
UGUUCGCAUCAAUUUAGAGUGCCAGCAUGUCCUUUUUUUAUUUAAAAUAUUAAAUUGUAAACAAAAUUCAGUAGUUUUCAUACCUCAGACUGACUCAUAUAAUAAAAUUAUUUGUCCGCAACAACCAAAACUGACCAUAUAAGCAUUUAAUUAUGUAAAUCUAUAUAGCCGCAUAGUAAAUGAGUUAUAUUUUCAUGUAAGGAUUUAUUGUAUAAGAAAAUAGGUAGCAAUAUUUG